CCUACGGGUGGCAGCAGUGAGGAAUAUUGGUCAAUGGACGCAAGUCUGAACCAGCCAUGCCGCGUGCAGGAAGACGGCUCUAUGAGUUGUAAACUGCUUUUGUACGAGGGUAAACGCAGAUACGCGUAUCUGUCGGAAAGUAUCGUACGAAUAAGGAUCGGCUAACUCCGUGCCAGAAGCCGCGGUAAUACGGAGGAUUCAAGCGUUAUCCGGAUUUAUUGGGUUUAAAGGGUGCGUAGGCGGGCGGAUAAGUUAGAGGUGAAAUCCCGAGGCUCAACUUCGGAAUUGCCUCUGAUACUGUUCGGCUAGAGCGUAGUUGCGGUAGGCGGAAUGUAUGGUGUAGCGGUGAAAUGCUUAGAGAUCAUACAGAACACCGAUUGCGAAGGCAGCUUACCAGGCUACUUCUGACGUUGAGGCACGAAAGCGUGGGGAGCAAACAGGAUUAGAUACCCCUGUAGUC
RNAcentral lists this ribosomal RNA (460 nucleotides) under uncultured bacterium. RNAcentral's name for it is "partial 16S ribosomal RNA". It matches the Rfam family "Bacterial small subunit ribosomal RNA", at positions 338 to 795 of the family's 1533-position model. The record is from RNAcentral.